GACGGAGGGUGCUAGCGUUGUUCGGAAUUACUGGGCGUAAAGGGCGCGUAGGCGGCCCUGUCAGUCGGAUGUGAAAGCCCGGGGCUCAACCCCGGAACGGCAUCCGAGACGGCAGGGCUGGAGACCGGGAGAGGAGAGUGGAAUAGCCAGUGUAGAGGUGAAAUUCGUAGAUAUUGGCUGGAACACCGGUGGCGAAAGCGGCUCUCUGGCCCGGUUCUGACGCUGAGGCGCGAAAGCGUGGGGAGCAAACAGG
This 253-nucleotide ribosomal RNA is filed under the name uncultured bacterium. Its description in RNAcentral is "partial 16S ribosomal RNA". It matches the Rfam family "Bacterial small subunit ribosomal RNA", at positions 524 to 776 of the family's 1533-position model. The record is from RNAcentral.